UGAGUGAGGAGCCUAAUAUGGGGCUUGAUCUCAUGACCCUAAGAUCAUGACCUGAGCAGAAACCAAGAGUCAGAUGUGUAACCGACUGAGCCACCCAGGCGCCCCUCGAUUUUAGUCUUGUGAGACUUGCUUUGGACUUCUGACCUCCAGAACUGUCAAACAAUAACAUUUGUGUUGUUGGAGGCUGCUAAGUUUAUGGUGAUUUGUUAUAGCAGCAGUAGGAAGCUAACACAGUGUGUGUUUGUUACCUGUCUGCUGCCACUGGAAAUGAACUCCAUGAGGCCAGGACCUUCUUUAUUGUCUUCAUAUAUUCUUUUUUAAAAAAAGAUUUUAUUUAUUUAUUUUAGGGGGGGGCACAUGCUAGCAGGGAGAGGGGUAGAGGAAGAGAGAAAAAUCUUAAGCCGACUCCAUGCUGAGCAUGGAAUCUGAUGCGGGACUCAAUCUCACAACCCCAAGAUCAUUAGCUGAGUUGAAAUCAAGAGUCAGACGCUUGACCAACGGAGCCACUGGGCGCCCCUUCACCUUGUGUUCUUGGUGUCUGGUGCAAGAAUGAACCUCCAUAAGUGUUUGUGGAAUGAACAAAGACACAGAGGCAGUGCAGGAAGAGGAGCCAAUGGGGUGGGGUUGAGGGGGGAAGACCCUGAGCUGGGCAAGGUCAUGGUGUGCUCUGCAGUGGUGGAUGAGCUGAAGUGGAGAAGGGGGGUGCUUGGAGACCUUGGAAGAGCUAAUUCUGUAGCAUUUACUCUGCAGGGGAAGAACUGGUGAUGGGUUUUAUAUAGAAUGAGAGCACAAUCCUAUUUGCUUAUUGCUUUUUAAGUAAUUUUUGAAGUGAUUUUCCUUGUUUAUCGUUAAUAAUUGGAAAUGUAUAGAGACAUGGACAAAAAAAUAAAAAUCACUCAAUCUCAUUUCCUAGAGAUAGCCAUUGUUAACUCUUUUGGUGGGUAUGUGUAUGUGUGUUUCUGUCUUCAAAACUGAGAUUAUACUUUAUACACUAUUUUGGAACUGGCUUUUUUCCUUUAAUGUGAAUUUCUCUGUGUCACUAUUCUUCUAAAAAUAUGGUAUUUAAUGACCACAUAGUAUUUUAUCAUACAGCCAUAACUAAAUUUAUUUAACAGCUUUCCCCUAACCGGACAAUUCUUUUAUUUCCCCAAUAUUUUAUUAUUAAAAGUAGCAAUAGUAGUGCCUGGCAUAUAGUGAGCAUUCGACAUUUUGGUUGAAUAGAUGGGUGAAUGAAUGGUUCUGAGAACACUGUCAUGCAUAAACCUACAGAUCGCUGAUCGUUUCUUUAGGAAAAAGAUUCUUGCAAGUGAAAGUGUUGGAUCAGAGGUUGUAUUUUUUUUUUUUAAUGGCUCUCAAUACAUAUGGCCAAAUUACCUUUCAAAAAGGUUAUAAAAAUUACAACCCCACUAGUAAUAUGUGAAUGCAUAACUUCACUGUGUUGAUGGGGGUAUUGUAAUUUUUUAAACCCUUGCUUGCAUGUUAGAAAAGUUUCCACAGGGACAGGAAGGUAGUAGUUAGGGGGUCUUGUGAAGUUCAGGCAGAUAAUGGUAAGAACCUCAACAUCCGCCAUGGAGGUCUAUCAGCAAGGAGACAGAUCUGAGCUCUCAGUAGGACACAGAAUCAAUAGGACUUGAGUGCAGAAGGUUGAAAGGAUGUUGGAAUGAGCCUCGGGUUUCUGCCUCAGGUACAGUAUUGGUUGAGAUUCUUUGUUGCCAGUGACAAGAAACAGCUCUGAUUUAGUUAACAAGGCUUAUUGUAAGGCUGCAGAGCAAACCACAGAGUCAGAGCUGAGGUUCCAGGCUCCCAAAACCCCGGGAUCCCAGCACCAUUCAGGAAUCCAAGAGGAAGAAAAGAAUGGACGACCCCUCCUUGGGACAGCACCCUCAGGGAGGGUCAGUUUUUGUGUUACAUUGCCGAAGAUUCCAAUUCCAUGGAGAAGGGUUAAUCUGGUCUACUUUGGGUCAAUGAUCCGUCCAGUGGCCAGAGGCAGGGGGACCCCUUCUUGGACAGUCCUACCAGGAGACAGAGGGGUCUACAGUGCUACCAGCAGAAGGCAUUUGAAUGAAUGCAGGCAUGUAAAAACUCAUGCUGACCUCUCCGUAUGGGUGUGCAUUCAUGGCAGCUGGCCAGAGCUAACCACAACUCUGCUUCCAACGGUUAGCAAUUCCUGCUCAUGUUUCAGUCUCUCAUUGAACACAGGCAUAGCUCCCCUCCAUGACGAUGAGAGGGGCAGAGAGAGAGAAAUCCCCCUUCUUGACCUCGUUGAGAUCCUGGCUCCAAUCUUUCGCCCUGUGCCCUCCGGCUGCCAGCUAGCAGCCUUUCCUGAACCCCAGUGUGGCAGUCUGUCAGCUGACCGCCAGUAUUUCAUGCUUCCUCUGUCACACCACAAGGCUGUUUCUGAGAAGUGAGGAGAUAUUUGGUAACAAGAUACAAGGAGCCUGGGACACUGAAUGACCGACCGCACGGGGAAGCUGGCUGCCGACCAGCAGCAUCCGCAUUAAACUGUUCAUGUGAGUGAGAAGUAAAUGUUGAGAAUGUCAUAACAUUGAAAUGUUGGAUUUUAUUGUUACUACUGCUAAUUAAUAACCUCAUAAACACCUCUGGAUACUUGUUUAACAAAGGGCUGAGAAGAAUUAAAUGAGCAAUGGGUGAAAGAGGAGAAUGAUUCUUAAAAACAUGGGAAAUAAUCCAGCAGUUCUACUUCUGGGUGAGUUGUGUGGUAUGCUGCUCUAGCUCUCUAAAGCUCCCACUCUUGUAAAAAGAGAGGGAAACCUAGAGAAUCACCGCUCAAGGAGGCUGCGAUGAGAAGAAACAACUCACCUGACAGCUCGUCUCCUGCCCAGCAGCCCAAGUCUCUCCCAGGACAAAAGAGAGUCCAGCGCCAGUGUCCAGAGGACAGCGGAGCCACCUUGAAGCUCCCUGUGGGAGACAGCACCGCAGACAAACCUCGGGGACUCCUGGGUCUCAGAAGCAGGAUGAGAUCGCCGGUGCCACCCCAGUACUGACGGAGGGAUCACCGGGGAGUAAUCCGCGGGCUGCAAAGACACAGCGGAGGUCAGCCUGGGUGACAGGGCUUCACGCCGCUCUUGGCUCUCUGAAUUUUAAGAGCAAUAAAGUGAAGCCACAGCAAAUCAAAAGCAGAAAUGAGCAAAGGUUACAAAGGAGUUGGAAGUUGUUUCCCUUGUCAAAGAGGCCUAGAAGAACAGGGCCCCGUUCUCCUGCUCUGGAGAAGCUCUGACAAGAACGGAGACCCUUCAGCUCCGCAGAGGACCCAGGAGGCUGUGGCGAGCUCCUGCUUGAGCAGGUACGUCAGGGGAGGACCGUGGAAGAUUGCUAACAUUUUAAUUAAUGACUGGACUUGGCACAACAAGUGGAAGUUGGGGCUGCAGGCCACCCAGGGGCAGCACCAUGUCUGGCUUAUGUAUUUCCAAGUCCACGGAUUAUCAGAGGUUCCCUUGAGAUACCCUCUGUUUUCGUUACCAGCACUUGGCACUAACAUCCUAUCCCUGGCCACCUGGGGGGACAGCAAGCCUCUCCUCCAUAGGUGAGGUUUGCUUGCAGGUUGGGGAAGCUCAGUCAGCACCCCUCCUGUCCCCUCUCCGCCCUGGACUCCCUCCACCGGGGCCCAGGCCGGUGGGGAAAUUUGGGAAGCGUGGACCGGGAACCCAUUCAACCCAGCUUUGUCCUUCUUGCUCUUGGGAGCACCACCUGCAGGGGGCUGGUGCUCUCCGUCAUGCUCCAAGGGGCCAGCUCUUCCCCUCGCCGGGGGCAUGGGAGGGCUGAUCAGUCGUGGGGGUCAGGAUUAGGAAGCCCUCCGGCUCUAAUCCCUAGCCCAUCCACACUGAGAAGGAUAGGUUAGCCUCCAAGGCCCUCCCCACUGUUUCCUAUCAGAUGACUCAGAAGUCGGGCAAGAGAGAGGAACGGUGUCUGAGGCCCCCCAGGACCGCAGCAGCCUGGCUGCCGCAGCACCACAGCCGUCUCUCCACUUUUGCGCCCCCAAAUCCGUUCUCACUGCUUGCGGGAGCUUUCCAUGAUACACCUCAGAUAAUGCUCCUCCUUACCUGAAAUCCUGCCCUGCACCUCCUCUGCGGGACCCCAGGACCUGGCCUUGCUUUCCUGCCCAGACCCAGGUCCCUCUCCGCCUUGCCCUCGCCGCUCCCGCCAUGUGAAUCCCAAGCUUGAUAGGGAUGCAGCAGUAGUGUUCCCACUGUCUGGAAUGUUCUUUGUGACAAGCUAGCCUCCCCAGAGAGCCUUGGGUCAUCUCCUGCUCUAACUAGUUCCUGCCCCCACCCUUGCACGCCCCCCUUUUGUUCUCUCGAGAGCCCGCAUCACUGAUGACAUCAUCACAUGGAUUCCCGGGCCUCCCCGUGUCACUGAGAUGGGGGGCCUUCCCAGUUGAGCAGGGAUCUGGUCCCCUCCAGCCCCUCUGCAGCCCCAGCGCCUGGCACACAGUAGUCACUCAAUAAAUGCCCGUGCGGUGAAGGAAGGGAAGCUGUAGGGGGGCUGCAGGAUUCUCGGUCCAGGCUGGCCCUACCCUGCUCACCGCUCACGAGUGGGCGUCCUCGUGCUUGGCGCUCACCCCGAUCCUUCACUUCACUUGGUCUCUAACCAAGGAGGCUUCACUCUCGGCCUUGGGAGAGUCUUGGAAAGGCCAGAGGUCCUCUGAGAGGAGCCUCCUGCUUCUUGGGAAAUGCGUGUUCCCGGCGGGCCUGGUGGCACCUUUCCCGGCCCUGCUUCUCCCCAAGUUGUAGGCCUAGGGUGGGGGGCCCCGCGUGCCUCAACUGGGCCCCGGUUCCAAGGGCCAAUAAGGUAACAAACGAAGC
This is a long non-coding RNA of Canis lupus familiaris (dog), 4823 nucleotides long. RefSeq lists it as uncharacterized. The transcript is spliced from 3 exons. Lineage: Eukaryota; Metazoa; Chordata; Mammalia; Carnivora; Canidae. The record is from RefSeq and is a predicted model, not a curated record.